This 429-nucleotide ribosomal RNA is filed under the name bacterium. RNAcentral's name for it is "partial 16S ribosomal RNA". It matches the Rfam family "Bacterial small subunit ribosomal RNA", at positions 355 to 776 of the family's 1533-position model. The record is from RNAcentral.
UAGGGAAUCUUCGGCAAUGGGGGCAACCCUGACCGAGCAACGCCGCGUGAGUGAAGAAGGUUUUCGGAUCGUAAAGCUCUGUUGUAAGAGAAGAACGUGUGUGAGAGUGGAAAGUUCACACAGUGACGGUAACUUACCAGAAAGGGACGGCUAACUACGUGCCAGCAGCCGCGGUAAUACGUAGGUCCAGAGCGUUGUCCGGAUUUAUUGGGCGUAAAGCGAGCGCAGGCGGUUUAAUAAGUCUGAAGUUAAAGGCAGUGGCUUAACCAUUGUUCGCUUUGGAAACUGUUAAACUUGAGUGCAGAAGGGGAGAGUGGAAUUCCAUGUGUAGCGGUGAAAUGCGUUGAUAUAUGGAGGAACACCGGUGGCGAAAGCGGCUCUCUGGUCUGUAACUGACGCUGAGGCUCGAAAGCGUGGGGAGCAAACAGG